Molecule: non-coding RNA, 493 nt
Organism: Lolium perenne
Lineage: Eukaryota; Viridiplantae; Streptophyta; Magnoliopsida; Poales; Poaceae
Source: RefSeq, a predicted model, not a curated record
CCCAUUCCCUCUAUUUUUCAUCUUAGUGUGAACCAGAUGAAUCAGACUUAUCCUGUCGCUAGGAAUUUGCUUGAGAUUCUACACGAAGGGAGCAUAUAUGAGAUUGGUAGAUUGUGCUACGAAGAUUGAUCCUGAACAGCUUGUGGGAAGGAUUCAACAUUUAGCGAUAAGAGACGUAAUCCUGUCUGAUCAAAGGGAAGGUUGAAAGCUGCUGUUGGGAGCGGGCGGUUCAUCAGGAGUGAAGAUGAUGGUGGCAGUGGAGGAAAAGAAAUGGCAGGGGUGGCAGCUAUAAGGUAGAGGUUGUUUCUAAGUUGUUCGUCUUGGUGUUAGUUUUCCCCUAAUUCUAUCAUGUAUAUCUACUAUUUCUAAUUGGAGGGAUUAUGGUUGGUGAGCCUUUGAUGACAAGGGAAUUUUUUUAUCCUUUUUUCUCUUCUGGUUGUUCCUUUUCUGUAGGAAGAUGAUAAAUCUGGAAGCCAUUUUGCCGCUGAAAGAU